RNAcentral lists this long non-coding RNA (323 nucleotides) under Cavia porcellus (domestic guinea pig). RNAcentral's name for it is "lncRNA (ENSCPOG00000035089.1)". The record is from RNAcentral. Lineage: Eukaryota; Metazoa; Chordata; Mammalia; Rodentia; Caviidae.
CAGAACUUCGGGACCUGACAGUUCUGGCCUCCUUUUCAUCUCUGACAGAAAAGGAGAUGACAGAAAUACCUAUGAUCUGCUGUCCUGAAACUUCCCUGCAAAUAGAAUAUAAGUUGACAGUACAUGUCUUUUCCCACCUGUUUCUGCCCGCCAUGGGCCAUGCUCCAUGGCUCCUGAUUCUCACACUUGCUGUGUGCAGAAGUGCUGGACCUGGGAUGUCCUCCCUACCUGACCUGUCUUCGCAUGGCCCCUCUGGAACGCAGCACUGUGGACCUGAAGAACUGUGCAGCUGGAGAGAUUCUAGAGCUGAAAGCAUUUUGUGA